This 247-nucleotide ribosomal RNA is filed under the name uncultured bacterium. Its description in RNAcentral is "partial 16S ribosomal RNA". It matches the Rfam family "Bacterial small subunit ribosomal RNA", at positions 523 to 769 of the family's 1533-position model. The record is from RNAcentral.
AUACGUAGGUGGCAAGCGUUGUCCGGAAUUACUGGGUGUAAAGGGAGCGCAGGCGGGGAGACAAGUCAGCUGUGAAAUGUAUGGGCUUAACCCAUAAAUUGCAGUUGAAACUGUUUUUCUUGAGUGGAGUAGAGGUAGGCGGAAUUCCGAGUGUAGCGGUGAAAUGCGUAGAUAUUCGGAGGAACACCAGUGGCGAAGGCGCCUUUCUGGACUGUAACUGACACUGAGGCUCGAAAGCGUGGGGAGC